This 739-nucleotide long non-coding RNA is filed under the name Brassica napus (rape). RNAcentral's name for it is "long non-coding RNA (BNAP_LNC006772)". Lineage: Eukaryota; Viridiplantae; Streptophyta; Magnoliopsida; Brassicales; Brassicaceae. The record is from RNAcentral.
CAACACGUGCUUGUAAUAUUAAGCACCAAUUGCAUCAUUUUCGCUGUCAACUCAAGACAAAUUCGACUCACCGCCUAGCUACUCCGAUCAGCUCCUCCACGCCACGGUGACAACACAUCCAACGCUUACCCGGCCGAGAUCUCGGCAACUCGGGCGUGUUUUCAAACACGGGUUUUAUCUUAAUCUUUUCCUAUGAAUAAAUUGCAUUUACCUGCGUACAGCUCUGAGCCGGAGAUCAAAAGGGUGUGAAUAUUAAUUAGAAUAUUAGAAUCAUGUAAUGUCACAUUAAAAUAAUUUUGUCUCUUCCUAUGUCUACAUUUCCUUUGACUACAAUUCAUCAUUCACAGUACAACCUUUUGAUUUUAACUUUUCAUUGAUGAAUACAGCCAUGUCCUGGGAGCUCAAUUUAAUUAAUAGUUCUUACUGCAAAUCAGACUUGUUAAGAUACACAAAAAGUAGUGAAAGCGAAAAGUACUUGAGCUAGUGAAGCUCUAUGAAAAGGGUUAUUCUGCUUCUCAUUUCUACCAAAUUUGUAGAGAAAUGUCGUCAGAUAAUCAUUAACCUGUCAUUAACAAAGAUCGGGUCAUGAUUUGGGAAUUACCUAUCUUGGUUUUAGGUAAGAUUUAAUUCACAUGUAGUUUAGGCUGCUCAUUUUCCGAUGCAUAAAUUAUUACAAAUAAAAUUCUCAAAGCCUUUGAAAUGCUUAGCCAACUUCACAACAUGUGCUUCUCAGUGCCUC